CCCUACUCCUACGGGAGGCAGCAGUGGGGAAUAUUGCACAAUGGGCGCAAGCCUGAUGCAGCCAUGCCGCGUGUAUGAAGAAGGCCUUCGGGUUGUAAAGUACUUUCAGCGGGGAGGAAGGGAGUAAAGUUAAUACCUUUGCUCAUUGACGUUACCCGCAGAAGAAGCACCGGCUAACUCCGUGCCAGCAGCCGCGGUAAUACGGAGGGUGCAAGCGUUAAUCGGAAUUACUGGGCGUAAAGCGCACGCAGGCGGUUUGUUAAGUCAGAUGUGAAAUCCCCGGGCUCAACCUGGGAACUGCAUCUGAUACUGGCAAGCUUGAGUCUCGUAGAGGGGGGUAGAAUUCCAGGUGUAGCGGUGAAAUGCGUAGAGAUCUGGAGGAAUACCGGUGGCGAAGGCGGCCCCCUGGACGAAGACUGACGCUCAGGUGCGAAAGCGUGGGGAGCAAACAGGAUUAGAAACCCUGGUAGUCCGA
This 475-nucleotide ribosomal RNA is filed under the name Escherichia coli. RNAcentral describes it as "bacterial SSU rRNA". It matches the Rfam family "Bacterial small subunit ribosomal RNA", at positions 331 to 798 of the family's 1533-position model. The record is from RNAcentral. Lineage: Bacteria; Pseudomonadati; Pseudomonadota; Gammaproteobacteria; Enterobacterales; Enterobacteriaceae.